This 72-nucleotide transfer RNA is filed under the name Bos taurus (domestic cattle). It matches the Rfam family "tRNA". From Rfam's summary of the family: Transfer RNA (tRNA) molecules are approximately 80 nucleotides in length. RNAcentral also lists the same sequence under 2 other names. Lineage: Eukaryota; Metazoa; Chordata; Mammalia; Artiodactyla; Bovidae. The record is from Rfam by way of RNAcentral.
UCCCUGGUAGCUCAGCUGGUAAAGAAUCUGCUAGCAACACAGGAGACCUGGGUUCGAUCCCUUGCCUGGGAA